GGUAUCCUGACCGUGCUAAGGUAGCAUAAUAGCUUGCCUUUUAAUUAAAGGCUUGUAUGAACGAACCAACGAGAGUUUGACUGUCUCCUAGAUAAACACGAAAUUUAACCUUUAUGUGAAAAGGCAUAAAUAAAACUAAAAGACAAAAAGACCCUGUCGAGCUUAAUUGCUAACCCCCCGAUAGAAAAAUAAUUUACUCUUUCCAGGAAAUAAACCAAUUUAGUUGGGGCAACAAGGGAACACCUAAACCUUCCCUUAUGAAAUUUAUUUUAAUCAAAAGACCCCCAAUCGGGCCAAAAGAUAAAAGCUACCGCAGGGAUAACAGGUUAAUUUUUCUCGAGAGUACACAUUAACAGAAAAGAUUGGCACCUCGAUGUUGGCUUAGGA
This 387-nucleotide ribosomal RNA is filed under the name Euphrosinella cf. cirratoformis MB1. Its description in RNAcentral is "partial 16S ribosomal RNA". It matches the Rfam family "Bacterial large subunit ribosomal RNA", at positions 1935 to 2542 of the family's 2925-position model. The record is from RNAcentral. Lineage: Eukaryota; Metazoa; Annelida; Polychaeta; Eunicida; Euphrosinidae.